UUGACUUGAGAGCAGGUCAGGCCAUGAGAGAAUUCAAUGUAGUGUGAUCACUUAUGGAUUCAUUUGCAGAAUUUGUGCUUCAGAAUAACUAUUUUUGUAAACUUCCUUCCACCUUCUGUGAGUGUCCAGGAAUAAUUUUUCUUCAAGAUCUCCAGGACAUCAUAUGGACUCUGGCGGAACAUUUUCUUCACCCCUACUGAGGCCCACAGGGAAAACAUUGUAAAGGAAAGGCACUAGGGAGAAUUCAAAGAUAUCUUCCAGGGGUAUUAGUGGGACACUUAAUGCCUUCCUGUCCAGGUAUUGGAUGAAUAUACAUUCAAACUG
Molecule: long non-coding RNA, 324 nt
Organism: Mus musculus (house mouse)
Lineage: Eukaryota; Metazoa; Chordata; Mammalia; Rodentia; Muridae
Product: predicted gene, 35237
Exons: 3
Source: RefSeq, a predicted model, not a curated record